Molecule: non-coding RNA, 91 nt
Organism: Mycena leptocephala
Lineage: Eukaryota; Fungi; Basidiomycota; Agaricomycetes; Agaricales; Mycenaceae
Source: the annotation of a GenBank genome assembly
GGCUCGGUAGCGGACGGUCCACAUCUGCUUUCCAUCACAAGUGUGCGAGCAAAUAAUGCAGACAAAGCCUGUUCAAUUCAGGCCUGAGCCA